AACACUGUUAACCUGCGGUACCUGCGGAAGGAUCAUUACAGAGUGUUUAACCCCCUAUAAAAUGGUGGGUCUAACCUCCCGUCCUUUGCUGGGUCCCCCUUCUGGAGGACUUUCAAAACUUUCUGCCUCGGCGGGGUAUACCCGCCGGAACACCCUCAAAAAAUUCUUGAUCAAAAUGGUUCGGUCCGAGAAACUUUUUGUGAAAAUUAGCGAAAAACUUUCAACAACGGAUCUCAGAUC
RNAcentral lists this unclassified non-coding RNA (240 nucleotides) under soil metagenome. Its description in RNAcentral is "partial contains 5.8S ribosomal RNA, internal transcribed spacer 2, and large subunit ribosomal RNA". The record is from RNAcentral.